ACACUAUCAUUAACUGAAUCCAUAGGUUAAUGAGGCGAACCGGGGGAACUGAAACAUCUAAGUACCCCGAGGAAAAGAAAUCAACCGAGAUUCCCCCAGUAGCGGCGAGCGAACGGGGAGCAGCCCAGAGCCUGAAUCAGUGUGUGUGUUAGUGGAAGCGUCUGGAAAGGCGCGCGAUACAGGGUGACAGCCCCGUACACAAAAAUGCACAUACUGUGAGCUCGAUGAGUAGGGCGGGACACGUGGUAUCCUGUCUGAAUAUGGGGGGACCAUCCUCCAAGGCUAAAUACUCCUGACUGACCGAUAGUGAACCAGUACCGUGAGGGAAAGGCGAAAAGAACCCCGGCGAGGGGAGUGAAAAAGAACCUGAAACCGUGUACGUACAAGCAGUGGGAGCCUCUUAAUGGGGUGACUGCGUACCUUUUGUAUAAUGGGUCAGCGACUUAUAUUCUGUAGCAAGGUUAACCGAAUAGGGGAGCCGAAGGGAAACCGAGUCUUAACUGGGCGUUAAGUUGCAGGGUAUAGACCCGAAACCCGGUGAUCUAGCCAUGGGCAGGUUGAAGGUUGGGUAACACUAACUGGAGGACCGAACCGACUAAUGUUGAAAAAUUAGCGGAUGACUUGUGGCUGGGGGUGAAAGGCCAAUCAAACCGGGAGAUAGCUGGUUCUCCCCGAAAGCUAUUUAGGUAGCGCCUCGUGAAUUCAUCUCCGGGGGUAGAGCACUGUUUCGGCAAGGGGGUCAUCCCGACUUACCAACCCGAUGCAAACUGCGAAUACCGGAGAAUGUUAUCACGGGAGACACACGGCGGGUGCUAACGUCCGUCGUGAAGAGGGAAACAACCCAGACCGCCAGCUAAGGUCCCAAAGUCAUGGUUAAGUGGGAAACGAUGUGGGAAGGCCCAGACAGCCAGGAUGUUGGCUUAGAAGCAGCCAUCAUUUAAAGAAAGCGUAAUAGCUCACUGGUCGAGUCGGCCUGCGCGGAAGAUGUAACGGGGCUAAACCAUGCACCGAAGCUGCGGCAGCGACGCUUAUGCGUUGUUGGGUAGGGGAGCGUUCUGUAAGCCUGUGAAGGUGUACUGUGAGGUAUGCUGGAGGUAUCAGAAGUGCGAAUGCUGACAUAAGUAACGAUAAAGCGGGUGAAAAGCCCGCUCGCCGGAAGACCAAGGGUUCCUGUCCAACGUUAAUCGGGGCAGGGUGAGUCGACCCCUAAGGCGAGGCCGAAAGGCGUAGUCGAUGGGAAACAGGUUAAUAUUCCUGUACUUGGUGUUACUGCGAAGGGGGGACGGAGAAGGCUAUGUUGGCCGGGCGACGGUUGUCCCGGUUUAAGCGUGUAGGCUGGUUUUCCAGGCAAAUCCGGAAAAUCAAGGCUGAGGCGUGAUGACGAGGCACUACGGUGCUGAAGCAACAAAUGCCCUGCUUCCAGGAAAAGCCUCUAAGCAUCAGGUAACAUCAAAUCGUACCCCAAACCGACACAGGUGGUCAGGUAGAGAAUACCAAGGCGCUUGAGAGAACUCGGGUGAAGGAACUAGGCAAAAUGGUGCCGUAACUUCGGGAGAAGGCACGCUGAUAUGUAGGUGAAGCGACUUGCUCGUGGAGCUGAAAUCAGUCGAAGAUACCAGCUGGCUGCAACUGUUUAUUAAAAACACAGCACUGUGCAAACACGAAAGUGGACGUAUACGGUGUGACGCCUGCCCGGUGCCGGAAGGUUAAUUGAUGGGGUNGCGAAGCUCUUGAUCGAAGCCCCGGUAAACGGCGGCCGUAACUAUAACGGUCCUAAGGUAGCGAAAUUCCUUGUCGGGUAAGUUCCGACCUGCACGAAUGGCGUAAUGAUGGCCAGGCUGUCUCCACCCGAGACUCAGUGAAAUUGAACUCGCUGUGAAGAUGCAGUGUACCCGCGGCAAGACGGAAAGACCCCGUGAACCUUUACUAUAGCUUGACACUGAACAUUGAGCCUUGAUGUGUAGGAUAGGUGGGAGGCUUUGAAGUGUGGACGCCAGUCUGCAUGGAGCCGGCCUUGAAAUACCACCCUUUAAUGUUUGAUGUUCUAACGUUGGCCCGUAAUCCGGGUUGCGGACAGUGUCUGGUGGGUAGUUUGACUGGGGCGGUCUCCUCCUAAAGAGUAACGGAGGAGCACGAAGGUUGGCUAAUCCUGGUCGGACAUCAGGAGGUUAGUGCAAUGGCAUAAGCCAGCUUGACUGCGAGCGUGACGGCGCGAGCAGGUGCGAAAGCAGGUCAUAGUGAUCCGGUGGUUCUGAAUGGAAGGGCCAUCGCUCAACGGAUAAAAGGUACUCCGGGGAUAACAGGCUGAUACCGCCCAAGAGUUCAUAUCGACGGCGGUGUUUGGCACCUCGAUGUCGGCUCAUCACAUCCUGGGGCUGAAGUAGGUCCCAAGGGUAUGGCUGUUCGCCAUUUAAAGUGGUACGCGAGCUGGGUUUAGAACGUCGUGAGACAGUUCGGUCCCUAUCUGCCGUGGGCGCUGGAGAACUGAGGGGGGCUGCUCCUAGUACGAGAGGACCGGAGUGGACGCAUCACUGGUGUUCGGGUUGUCAUGCCAAUGGCACUGCCCGGUAGCUAAAUGCGGAAGAGAUAAGUGCUGAAAGCAUCUAAGCACGAAACUUGCCCCGAGAUGAGUUCUCCCUGACUCCUUGAGAGUCCUGAAGGAACGUUGAAGACGACGACGUUGAUAGGCCGGGUGUGUAAGCGCAGCGAUGCGUUGAGCUAACCGGUACUAAUGAACCGUGAGGCUUAACCUU
Molecule: ribosomal RNA, 2753 nt
Filed under: Escherichia coli
Lineage: Bacteria; Pseudomonadati; Pseudomonadota; Gammaproteobacteria; Enterobacterales; Enterobacteriaceae
Description: 23S ribosomal RNA
Rfam family: Bacterial large subunit ribosomal RNA
Source: RNAcentral